This 2463-nucleotide ribosomal RNA is filed under the name Listeria monocytogenes. Its description in RNAcentral is "partial 23S ribosomal RNA". It matches the Rfam family "Bacterial large subunit ribosomal RNA", at positions 1 to 2468 of the family's 2925-position model. The record is from RNAcentral. Lineage: Bacteria; Bacillati; Bacillota; Bacilli; Caryophanales; Listeriaceae.
GUUGAUAAGGUUAAGUGAAUAAGGGCGCACGGUGGAUGCCUUGGCACUAGGAGCCGAUGAAGGACGGGACUAACACCGAUAUGCUUUGGGGAGCUGUAAGUAAGCUAUGAUCCAGAGAUUUCCGAAUGGGGGAACCCAAUAUCUUUUAUAGGAUAUUACUUUUCAGUGAAUACAUAGCUGAUUAGAGGUAGACGCAGAGAACUGAAACAUCUUAGUACCUGCAGGAAGAGAAAGAAAAUUCGAUUCCCUGAGUAGCGGCGAGCGAAACGGGAAGAGCCCAAACCAACAAGCUUGCUUGUUGGGGUUGUAGGACUCCAAUAUGGUAGUCUGUUAGUAUAGUUGAAGGAUUUGGAAAAUUCCGCUAAAGAGGGUGAAAGCCCCGUAGACGAAAUGCUGACAACACCUAGGAGGAUCCUGAGUACGGCGGAACACGAGAAAUUCCGUCGGAAUCCGCGGGGACCAUCCCGCAAGGCUAAAUACUCCCUAGUGACCGAUAGUGAACCAGUACCGUGAGGGAAAGGUGAAAAGCACCCCGGAAGGGGAGUGAAAUAGAUCCUGAAACCGUGUGCCUACAACAAGUCAAAGCUCGUUAAUGAGUGAUGGCGUGCCUUUUGUAGAAUGAACCGGCGAGUUACGAUUGCAUGCGAGGUUAAGUCGAAGAGACGGAGCCGCAGCGAAAGCGAGUCUGAAUAGGGCGAAUGAGUAUGUAGUCGUAGACCCGAAACCAUGUGAUCUACCCAUGUCCAGGUUGAAGGUGCGGUAAAACGCACUGGAGGACCGAACCCACGUACGUUGAAAAGUGCGGGGAUGAGGUGUGGGUAGCGGAGAAAUUCCAAACGAACUUGGAGAUAGCUGGUUCUCUCCGAAAUAGCUUUAGGGCUAGCCUCGGAAUUGAGAAUGAUGGAGGUAGAGCACUGUUUGGACUAGGGGCCCAUCUCGGGUUACCGAAUUCAGAUAAACUCCGAAUGCCAUUCAUUUAUAUCCGGGAGUCAGACUGCGAGUGAUAAGAUCCGUAGUCGAAAGGGAAACAGCCCAGACCACCAGCUAAGGUCCCAAAAUAUAUGUUAAGUGGAAAAGGAUGUGGGGUUGCACAGACAACUAGGAUGUUGGCUUAGAAGCAGCCACCAUUUAAAGAGUGCGUAAUAGCUCACUAGUCGAGUGACCCUGCGCCGAAAAUGUACCGGGGCUAAACAUAUUACCGAAGCUGUGGACUACACCAUUAGGUGUAGUGGUAGGAGAGCGUUCUAAGGGCGUUGAAGGUCGAUCGUGAGGACGGCUGGAGCGCUUAGAAGUGAGAAUGCCGGUAUGAGUAGCGAAAGACAGGUGAGAAUCCUGUCCACCGUAUGACUAAGGUUUCCUGGGGAAGGCUCGUCCGCCCAGGGUUAGUCGGGACCUAAGCCGAGGCCGAUAGGCGUAGGCGAUGGACAACAGGUUGAUAUUCCUGUACCAGUUGUUUUUGUUUGAGCAAUGGAGGGACGCAGUAGGCUAAGGAAUGCAUGCGAUUGGAAGUGCAUGUCCAAGCAAUGAGUCUUGAGUAGAGUUAAAUGCUUUACUCUUUAAGGACAAGUUGUGACGGGGAGCGAAAUAAUAGUAGCGAAGUUCCUGAUGUCACACUGCCAAGAAAAGCUUCUAGUGAGAAAACAACUGCCCGUACCGUAAACCGACACAGGUAGUCGAGGAGAGUAUCCUAAGGUGAGCGAGCGAACUCUCGUUAAGGAACUCGGCAAAAUGACCCCGUAACUUCGGGAGAAGGGGUGCUGACUUCGGUCAGCCGCAGUGAAUAGGCCCAAGCGACUGUUUAUCAAAAACACAGGUCUCUGCAAAAUCGUAAGAUGAAGUAUAGGGGCUGACGCCUGCCCGGUGCUGGAAGGUUAAGAGGAUGGGUUAGCUUCGGCGAAGCUCAGAAUUGAAGCCCCAGUAAACGGCGGCCGUAACUAUAACGGUCCUAAGGUAGCGAAAUUCCUUGUCGGGUAAGUUCCGACCCGCACGAAAGGCGUAACGAUUUGGGCACUGUCUCAACGAGAGACUCGGUGAAAUUUUAGUACCUGUGAAGAUGCAGGUUACCCGCGACAGGACGGAAAGACCCCAUGGAGCUUUACUGUAGUUUGAUAUUGAGUGUUUGUACCACAUGUACAGGAUAGGUAGGAGCCGAUGAGACCGGAACGCUAGUUUCGGAGGAGGCGCUGGUGGGAUACUACCCUUGUGUUAUGAACCCUCUAACCCGCACCACUAAUCGUGGUGGGAGACAGUGUCAGAUGGGCAGUUUGACUGGGGCGGUCGCCUCCUAAAAGGUAACGGAGGCGCCCAAAGGUUCCCUCAGAAUGGUUGGAAAUCAUUCGAAGAGUGUAAAGGCAGAAGGGAGCUUGACUGCGAGACCUACAAGUCGAGCAGGGACGAAAGUCGGGCUUAGUGAUCCGGUGGUUCCGCAUGGAAGGGCCAUCGCUCAACGGAUAAAAGCUACCC